GCCCGGGUGGCGGAAUUAGAAGACGCAAAGGACUUAAAAUCCUUUGGAGAGUUUCUCUCCGUGAGGGUGCAAAUCCCUCCCCGGGCACAA
This 90-nucleotide transfer RNA is filed under the name Candidatus Parcubacteria bacterium. RNAcentral's name for it is "tRNA-Leu". It matches the Rfam family "tRNA". From Rfam's summary of the family: Transfer RNA (tRNA) molecules are approximately 80 nucleotides in length. Their secondary structure includes four short double-helical elements and three loops (D, anti-codon, and T loops). Further hydrogen bonds mediate the characteristic L-shaped molecular structure. tRNAs have two regions of fundamental functional importance: the anti-codon, which is responsible for specific mRNA codon recognition, and the 3' end, to which the tRNAs corresponding amino acid is attached (by aminoacyl-tRNA synthetases). tRNAs cope with the degeneracy of the genetic code in two manners: having more than one tRNA (with a specific anti-codon) for a particular amino acid; and 'wobble' base-pairing, i.e. permitting non-standard base-pairing at the 3rd anti-codon position. The record is from RNAcentral. Lineage: Bacteria; Candidatus Parcubacteria.